This 200-nucleotide ribosomal RNA is filed under the name uncultured bacterium. Its description in RNAcentral is "partial 16S ribosomal RNA". It matches the Rfam family "Bacterial small subunit ribosomal RNA", at positions 8 to 224 of the family's 1533-position model. The record is from RNAcentral.
AGAGUUUGAUCAUGGCUCAGAAUCAACGCUGGCGGCGUGCCUAACACAUGCAAGUCGAACGAGAAAGUCCGCAAGGAUGAGUAAAGUGGCGACCGGGUGAGUAACACGUGACUAACCUACCUCCAAGUGGGGAAUAACUCCGGGAAACCGGGGCUAAUACCGCAUAACAUCGCAAGAUCAAAGCAGCAAUGCGCUGGGAG